Molecule: ribosomal RNA, 253 nt
Filed under: uncultured bacterium
Lineage: Bacteria
Description: partial 16S ribosomal RNA
Rfam family: Bacterial small subunit ribosomal RNA
Source: RNAcentral
UACGUAGGGUGCGAGCGUUGUCCGGAAUUAUUGGGCGUAAAGGGCUCGUAGGCGGUUUGUCGCGUCGGGAGUGAAAACACUGGGCUUAACCGAGUGCUUGCUUUCGAUACGGGCAGACUAGAGGUAUGCAGGGGAGAACGGAAUUCCUGGUGUAGCGGUGAAAUGCGCAGAUAUCAGGGGGAACACCGGUGGCGAAGGCGGUUCUCUGGGCAUUACCUGACGCUGAGGAGCGAAAGUGUGGGGAGCGAACAGG